GCGCCCUUGGUGUAAGGUAACACAUGUCUUACAUCUGCUUCGUGGCAAAGAAGGAUUCAAGACAAAUCCGGGGUUCGAGUCCCCUAGGGUGCA
This is a non-coding RNA of Mycena olivaceomarginata, 93 nucleotides long. The record is from the annotation of a GenBank genome assembly. NCBI's taxonomy places the organism in Eukaryota, Fungi, Basidiomycota, Agaricomycetes, Agaricales, Mycenaceae.